This 468-nucleotide ribosomal RNA is filed under the name uncultured bacterium. RNAcentral's name for it is "partial 16S ribosomal RNA". It matches the Rfam family "Bacterial small subunit ribosomal RNA", at positions 28 to 507 of the family's 1533-position model. The record is from RNAcentral.
GACGAACGCUGGCGGCGUGCUUAACACAUGCAAGUCGAACGGAAAGGCCCUGCUUUUGUGGGGUGCUCGAGUGGCGAACGGGUGAGUAUCACGUGAGUAACCUGCCCUUGACUUUGGGAUAACUUCAGGAAACUGGGGCUAAUACCGGAUAGGAGCUCCUGCUGCAUGGUGGGGGUUGGAAAGUUUCGGCGGUUGGGGAUGGACUCGCGGCUUAUCAGCUUGUUGGUGGGGUAGUGGCUUACCAAGGCUUUGACGGGUAGCCGGCCUGAGAGGGUGACCGGCCACAUUGGGACUGAGAUACGGCCCAGACUCCUACGGGAGGCAGCAGUGGGGAAUAUUGCACAAUGGGCGGAAGCCUGAUGCAGCAACGCCGCGUGCGGGAUGACGGCCUUCGGGUUGUAAACCGCUUUCGCCUGUGACGAAGCGUAAGUGACGGUAAUGGGUAAAGAAGCACCGGCUAACUACGUG